UAUAGGGAUCCAAAGAGAGGCACUGGCUAUGACAAAGGAGCCAUGGAAUUUACUUCCCCUUUUAAUUAAAGGUAGAGUGGAUGAGUGGGAGAAAGAUUUGGUGCUCGAGAAUCAGCAUAAUCUUAAGCAACUAAUUGUGCUUAUGUGGGAUCAGGUAUCUUCUCUCCCACCUGUAGGCCAGUUUCCAUGGUCACAUCCGAAUAGUGGGCUCCCAAACGCUUUAAUAGCUUCCGUAUAAUAAUCCUCACAAAAUAUUAAGCCAGCCCUGAUCUCUUUGUAUCCCCAAACAAAUCAAUUCUCUCACAGUUAAUUAGAAGCAGAAAAAAUCUCAUCUUUCCUGCUGCUGCUGCAGAGUACUAUCUGCCCAAGUUAAGGUAAGCCAUGAUCAUAGUUCUCUUUAUCCAUGCUGUCAUCCUUGGAAUAACUUACAGGAGGAUUUGUGACUUUGGAAGCCAGAAGAUUAGCUUUAUAUUGGUGAAAUAGGACUCAAGAAAGCUGUUCAAUUCCCCUGAUUUUCUUGUUUAAAUUAUCAAGAAGAUGCUUUUUGUGA
Long non-coding RNA from Populus nigra (black poplar), 550 nucleotides. RefSeq lists it as uncharacterized. The transcript is spliced from 2 exons. The record is from RefSeq and is a predicted model, not a curated record. Lineage: Eukaryota; Viridiplantae; Streptophyta; Magnoliopsida; Malpighiales; Salicaceae.